CCAGCCUGCCCAGUGACCACAAGUUCAACGGCCGCGGUAUUUUGACCGUGCAAAGGUAGCGCAAUCACUUGUCUUUUAAAUGAAGACCUGUAUGAAUGGCUAAACGAGGGCUUAACUGUCUCCCAUCUCAAGUCAGUGAAAUUGAUCUGCCCGUGCAGAAGCGGACAUAAAUAUACAAGACGAGAAGACCCUUUGGAGCUUAAGGUACAAAUCCAACCGCGUCAAACAGCUUAUCUAAAUAAGCUCUAAACCUAGCGAAAAUGGAAUUUUACCUUCGGUUGGGGCGACCACGGAGAAAAAAUCAUCCUCCGAGUGGACUGGGUUAAUUAAUCCUAAAACCAAGAAAAACAUUUCUAAGUCACAGAACGUCUGACCAAUAAUGAUCCGGCCAUAGGCCGAUCAACGGACCAAGUUACCCUAGGGAUAACAGCGCAAUCCUCUCCCAGAGUCCAUAUCGACGAGGGGGUUUACGACCUCGCUGUUGGAUCAGGACAUCCUAAUGGUGCAGCCGCUAUUAAGGGUUCGUUUGUUCAACGAUUAAAGUCCUACGUGAUCUGAG
RNAcentral lists this ribosomal RNA (559 nucleotides) under Pangio pangia. RNAcentral describes it as "partial 16S ribosomal RNA". It matches the Rfam family "Bacterial large subunit ribosomal RNA", at positions 1854 to 2609 of the family's 2925-position model. The record is from RNAcentral. Lineage: Eukaryota; Metazoa; Chordata; Actinopteri; Cypriniformes; Cobitidae.